CCUCCCGGCAACGCCGCCUCCCUCCUGCACCUCUCCGCAGGGCACACGGCCCCCGCUGCCAUGCAGCGGGGACUGGGGACUCCUAAUCCUGGCGGGAUUGUAAAGCUCUGCUGGGCGAAAUUAUUAGGCUACUUUACGCAAUAUUUAGCUUAGAUCUCCCUGGUUGAAAUUUAUGUGUAUUAGUUCCAUCUUCCAAGCUUGCCUGGAGAGAAGAUAAUACUCAAGCAUUGCACUAAAGCAUCAAAGACCUUGCGUAAAUCCCCAUUCUAUAACGAGGGCAGCUAAAAUAUUACAAAGCCAAAUGACAGAGCCGUCAUUAUCACCAGGAGAGCUGGAGCUGCCUUCAACAUCCAUUCCCUGGUCAGAAGCUGCCAACAGGACUAGUACAUACCCUUUGAAAUCAGGAAAGUACAGUGGCAAAGAGUAACACAGCAAUGAGACAAGAGCACACAGGGAUCAGGAUCUGGAUGGAUGCCAAGUUGAUUCCAUCAUGGAAGUCAGGAAAUUGCCACACAGGACUUUGGUGCUCCAUGAUAAGCAAAACACUUACAUUGAGCAACAGCGCUUGACUCUUGUUUCUUAUCUGUGUCACCCCUCCUGCAGCAAGGCCUACCUGAGUGUGCUCAGGACAUGGGGUGGUGGCACUUGAGCUGACCCAAGCGCUAUCGCCACGGGGGUGGCUUCCCAACCAAGGCUUAUCUGUAGCCACAGGCUGCUGCUUGUCUCUUGGGCAUUCCCAUAGUGAUAUAAACAGCCGGUUUGGUGAUACAGCUGAAAAUCAUCCUUUCCCUUUAGAACAGGAAAAAAAAAACCUUCUCAUCUUAAACAAGAACUUGGGGCCUUGUCCUUUCCAAGCUGUCCCAGAGCAGCUGGGGGCUCACAGGACAGGAAUUCAGUGUGACUGCAGAGGAGUCUCAGAAGACAUCACAGUGUUCCAGUCCACCCCCUCCUCUUCUUGUUUUAACUCUGCAUUCAGGCACUUUGGGAGAGAACAGAACAAACCCAGCUCUGCAUGGGCACUGUCAUUUGUUACGUCUGGGUCUUCGAUCACCAGGCACAUGAAUUUUACAGACAGGCAACCAAAACGCACUGGGUAUUUUCCUGUAAACUCCUAACUGCAGCCAGCUGAUGUCCUCUGGGUAUCAUGUCCAUGAACAUCCAUGUCCAUGGUGUUCUUCCAUCAAGGCAGUGCCGCAUGAGCAGCUCCCGGGAGCACCACGUUUUACUGCGGAAAUGUGAAAUUGUUUUGUGGGGGAAGGGAUGGAAGAACGAGCGAGGCGUUGAUUUGCUCAGAAAGAGAAGAAAUUCUUCAAGGUAAAUCACUUCGGUCUAGACGAACGCUUCAUCCAGUUUAAAACAAAUCUUAUUUUAUCUUUGAAUUCAUGGUUUCAUUUUCUGUCGAAUAUACCAAGGAGAUGCUUGUUAAAUAUUUCCACCUGAGAGCAAGUUCUCACACAGCACCUGUCAUAUUUGCAAUUUGCAAAAUAUAUGACAGCAUUUACACAAAUUUCUCGUUCACAAGAUGAAAUCCCUACAAUUUGUGCUUCAGCCACUAGAAAUCAAGCAAAAACAAUCCCUGGGGGUAAAUGCUGAGUAUUACAUUAAGCAAUAUCAUUUUAUGAAGUCAAAGAAUAAAAUGCCAGUAGGUGCUAACUGUAUUUCAUGGAUUAUAAAAUAUAAUUACAUUCAGAAUUGUAUCUGCCAAUG
Cyanistes caeruleus (blue tit) is the source of this 1707-nucleotide non-coding RNA. Lineage: Eukaryota; Metazoa; Chordata; Aves; Passeriformes; Paridae. The record is from RefSeq and is a predicted model, not a curated record.